UACGUAGGGAGCAAGCGUUGUUCGGAAUUACUGGGCGUAAAGGGCUCGUAGGUGGCCAACUAAGUCAGGCGUGAAAUCCCUCGGCUUAACCGGGGAACUGCGUCUGAUACUGGAUGGCUUGAGUUUGGGAGAGGGAUGCGGAAUUCCAGGUGUAGCGGUGAAAUGCGUAGAUAUCUGGAGGAACACCGGUGGCGAAGGCGGCAUCCUGGACCAACACUGACACUGAGGAGCGAAAGCCAGGGGAGCAAACGGG
This 253-nucleotide ribosomal RNA is filed under the name uncultured bacterium. RNAcentral describes it as "partial 16S ribosomal RNA". It matches the Rfam family "Bacterial small subunit ribosomal RNA", at positions 524 to 776 of the family's 1533-position model. The record is from RNAcentral.